RNAcentral lists this ribosomal RNA (253 nucleotides) under uncultured bacterium. RNAcentral's name for it is "partial 16S ribosomal RNA". It matches the Rfam family "Bacterial small subunit ribosomal RNA", at positions 524 to 776 of the family's 1533-position model. The record is from RNAcentral. RNAcentral also lists the same sequence under 2 other names.
GACGAACCGUCCAAACGUUGUUCGGAAUCACUGGGCUUAAAGGGCGCGUAGGCGGACUGCCAAGUCCGGGGUGAAAUCUUUCGGCUUAACCGGAAAAGGGCCUUGGAAACUGGCGGUCUCGAGGGAGGUAGGGGCCUGUGGAACUUCGGGUGGAGCGGUGAAAUGCGUUGAUAUCCGAAGGAACGCCGGUGGCGAAAGCGACGGGCUGGAUCUCUUCUGACGCUGAGGCGCGAAAGCCAGGGGAGCAAACGGG